This 216-nucleotide ribosomal RNA is filed under the name Triticum aestivum (bread wheat). RNAcentral's name for it is "partial small subunit ribosomal RNA". The record is from RNAcentral. Lineage: Eukaryota; Viridiplantae; Streptophyta; Magnoliopsida; Poales; Poaceae.
AUGGAGGUGAGGUUCCCCUUUAUCCUCUCUUUCUCUUCACCGCAGGCAGCCCCUGACCCCCCUUGGAUUCGAUUUGGCAGGUCGUGUGCAGGCGGGGAAGGACAGGGUGGCACGCCUCGUGCGCGAGCUCGAGGGCGUCGGCCUGCUCGUCGAGCGUGUCCGCGACGUCCCCGCCGAGUUCAUCAAGCUGUCCGCGCCCAUGGGGAUUCUGGGUAG